AACCAUUCCAUGGUUCUGUGACCUUCAAGGACCUUUCCAAUCCAGCCUGACCGUUCCAUGGUUCUGUGACCUUCAAGGACCUUUCCAACCCAACCAUUCCAUGGUUCUGUGAUCUUUCAGGACCCUUCCAGCCCAACCAUUCCAUGGUUCUGUGAUCUUCCAGGACCCUUCCAACCCAACCCAACCA
This 187-nucleotide long non-coding RNA is filed under the name Numida meleagris (helmeted guineafowl). RNAcentral's name for it is "lncRNA (ENSNMEG00000006312.1)". The record is from RNAcentral. Lineage: Eukaryota; Metazoa; Chordata; Aves; Galliformes; Numididae.